RNAcentral lists this long non-coding RNA (81 nucleotides) under Ficedula albicollis (Collared flycatcher). RNAcentral describes it as "lncRNA (ENSFALG00000026134.1)". The record is from RNAcentral. Lineage: Eukaryota; Metazoa; Chordata; Aves; Passeriformes; Muscicapidae.
AGGAUGACCCCAAACUUCAGACUUCUAGAGAGUUGAAGCAAAUGAGGUUGGUACUAAGAAGUGCCUUUCCUGACGUCGCUG